This is a long non-coding RNA of Odocoileus virginianus texanus, 506 nucleotides long. RefSeq lists it as uncharacterized. The record is from RefSeq and is a predicted model, not a curated record. Lineage: Eukaryota; Metazoa; Chordata; Mammalia; Artiodactyla; Cervidae.
CUAGAGGCUGGUCGCUCCGCCCUUGUGCUCCAUCCGCUGAGUCAACUAGAGUUUGGGUUUCGCGGCACCCCUUAAUCUACUCAGAUCGCGGCCUCUGGGCCCAGAUGUACGAGAUCCUCAAUGAUCUGUGUCAAAGAUAACCCAACUUCAACUGCAUGAAAACACCAUGAACCUUCAACCACUGAACCACCUGCAUUAAUUUCUAGAGGCCCUGGUUGGAAACUCAGGCCAAUUCUAAACUCUGACAGAUCUCACAUGCCUCCUGUUUCUCCCAGGCAGCUUCUCUCACAUCACAGGGACCUGACAUGGGGAUAUCUUCUCUCAAAUGUCCGUAAUUCACUGCAGCGUCCUACCAGCACUUCACCCACGAGCAGCCCCAUGAUGCAGAUACGGUCAUUACUGUUCAAGUCUGAAAGGGACCAAUAUGAAAGUCAAGUGUUUCCAUUUUCUACCCAGAAGAGAAUAUAUUGUAUAUAACACAGUCUUUAAAUAUAUCUCGAUUACAA